RNAcentral lists this ribosomal RNA (882 nucleotides) under Escherichia coli. RNAcentral's name for it is "partial 23S ribosomal RNA". It matches the Rfam family "Bacterial large subunit ribosomal RNA", at positions 345 to 1230 of the family's 2925-position model. Lineage: Bacteria; Pseudomonadati; Pseudomonadota; Gammaproteobacteria; Enterobacterales; Enterobacteriaceae. The record is from RNAcentral.
GAAAGGCGCGCGAUACAGGGUGACAGCCCCGUACACAAAAAUGCACAUGCUGUGAGCUCGAUGAGUAGGGCGGGACACGUGGUAUCCUGUCUGAAUAUGGGGGGACCAUCCUCCAAGGCUAAAUACUCCUGACUGACCGAUAGUGAACCAGUACCGUGAGGGAAAGGCGAAAAGAACCCCGGCGAGGGGAGUGAAAAAGAACCUGAAACCGUGUACGUACAAGCAGUGGGAGCACGCUUAGGCGUGUGACUGCGUACCUUUUGUAUAAUGGGUCAGCGACUUAUAUUCUGUAGCAAGGUUAACCGAAUAGGGGAGCCGAAGGGAAACCGAGUCUUAACUGGGCGUUAAGUUGCAGGGUAUAGACCCGAAACCCGGUGAUCUAGCCAUGGGCAGGUUGAAGGUUGGGUAACACUAACUGGAGGACCGAACCGACUAAUGUUGAAAAAUUAGCGGAUGACUUGUGGCUGGGGGUGAAAGGCCAAUCAAACCGGGAGAUAGCUGGUUCUCCCCGAAAGCUAUUUAGGUAGCGCCUCGUGAAUUCAUCUCCGGGGGUAGAGCACUGUUUCGGCAAGGGGGUCAUCCCGACUUACCAACCCGAUGCAAACUGCGAAUACCGGAGAAUGUUAUCACGGGAGACACACGGCGGGUGCUAACGUCCGUCGUGAAGAGGGAAACAACCCAGACCGCCAGCUAAGGUCCCAAAGUCAUGGUUAAGUGGGAAACGAUGUGGGAAGGCCCAGACAGCCAGGAUGUUGGCUUAGAAGCAGCCAUCAUUUAAAGAAAGCGUAAUAGCUCACUGGUCGAGUCGGCCUGCGCGGAAGAUGUAACGGGGCUAAACCAUGCACCGAAGCUGCGGCAGCGACGCUGAUGCGUUGUUGGGUA